CCCUUUGUGAACCAACUCCGUUGCUUCGGGGGCGACCCCGCCGUUCCGGCGACGGCGCCCCCGGAGGUCAUCAAACACUGCAUCUUUGCGUCGGAGUCUUAAAGUAAAUUUAAACAAAACUUUCAACAACGGAUCUCUUGGUUCUGGCAUCGAUGAAGAACGCAGCGAAAUGCGAUAAGUAAUGUGAAUUGCAGAAUUCAGUGAAUCAUCGAAUCUUUGAACGCACAUUGCGCCCCGUGGUAUUCCGCGGGGCAUGCCUGUUCGAGCGUCAUUUCACCACUCAAGCCUAGCUUGGUAUUGGGCGUCGCGGCUCCGCGCGCCUUAAAGUCUCCGGCUGAGCAGUUCGUCUCUAAGCGUUGUGACAUGAAUUUCGCUAAGGAGUUCGGACGGUUCCGGCCGUUAAAAUCUUUAUUAGGUUGACCUCGGAUCAGGUAGGGAUA
This is a ribosomal RNA of 440 nucleotides. The stretch from base 118 to 271 matches the Rfam family "5.8S ribosomal RNA".